UACGAAGGGGGCUAGCGUUGUUCGGAAUCACUGGGCGUAAAGGGCGCGUAGGCGGCCUGAUAAGUCGGGGGUGAAAGCCUGUGGCUCAACCACAGAAUUGCCUUCGAUACUGUUAGGCUUGAGACCGGAAGAGGUAAGUGGAACUGCGAGUGUAGAGGUGAAAUUCGUAGAUAUUCGCAAGAACACCAGUGGCGAAGGCGGGUCUCUGGGCCGAUACUGACGCUGAGGAGCGAAAGCGUGGGGAGCGAACAGG
RNAcentral lists this ribosomal RNA (253 nucleotides) under uncultured bacterium. Its description in RNAcentral is "partial 16S ribosomal RNA". It matches the Rfam family "Bacterial small subunit ribosomal RNA", at positions 524 to 776 of the family's 1533-position model. The record is from RNAcentral.